RNAcentral lists this ribosomal RNA (427 nucleotides) under uncultured bacterium. RNAcentral describes it as "partial 16S ribosomal RNA". It matches the Rfam family "Bacterial small subunit ribosomal RNA", at positions 355 to 774 of the family's 1533-position model. The record is from RNAcentral.
UGGGGAAUAUUGCACAAUGGGCGCAAGCCUGAUGCAGCCCUGCCGCGUGUCUGAAGAAGGCCUUCGGGAUGUAAAGUACUUUCAGCGGGGAGGAAGGCGAUAAGGUUAAUAACCUUGUCGAUUGACGUUACCCGCAGAAGAAGCACCGGCUAACUCCGUGCCAGCAGCCGCGGUAAUACGGAGGGUGCAAGCGUUAAUCGGAAUUACUGGGCGUAAAGCGCACGCAGGCGGUGUGUCAAGUCGGAUGUGAAAGCCCCGGGCUCAACCUGGGAACUGCAUUCGAAACUGGCAGGCUAGAGUCUUGUAGAGGGGGGUAGAAUUCCAGGUGUAGCGGUGAAAUGCGUAGAGAUCUGGAGGAAUACCGGUGGCGAAGGCGGCCCCCUGGACAAAGACUGACGCUCAGGUGCGAAAGCGUGGGGAGCAAACA